UUUAAGUGCAAUCAUGAGUUUUCGUGUCCAACUUUGAUCGUCCAUCUUAUUUGAAAAUUUUUUAUAAUUAAUAUUUUUUAUGAGAUGAUAAAAACAUGAAUAUUACUUUUCUCGUGACUUAUGUUUUUAAUUUUUUUAAAAAAAAUUUAAAUAAGACGGACGAUCAAAUUUGGGCGCGGAAAACCAUGGCUGAGGUUAAA
Oryza sativa Japonica Group (Japanese rice) is the source of this 200-nucleotide microRNA precursor. It matches the Rfam family "MIR812 microRNA precursor family". The record is from Rfam. NCBI's taxonomy places the organism in Eukaryota, Viridiplantae, Streptophyta, Magnoliopsida, Poales, Poaceae.